This 449-nucleotide ribosomal RNA is filed under the name uncultured bacterium. RNAcentral describes it as "partial 16S ribosomal RNA". It matches the Rfam family "Bacterial small subunit ribosomal RNA", at positions 29 to 523 of the family's 1533-position model. The record is from RNAcentral.
AACGAACGCUGGCGGCAUGCCUAACACAUGCAAGUCGAACGAAGCCUUCGGGCUUAGUGGCGCACGGGUGCGUAACGCGUGGGAAUCUGCCCUUUGGUUCGGAAUAACAGUUGGAAACGACUGCUAAUACCGGAUGAUGACGAAAGUCCAAAGAUUUAUCGCCAGAGGAUGAGCCCGCGUAGGAUUAGCUAGUUGGUGUGGUAAAGGCGCACCAAGGCGACGAUCCUUAGCUGGUCUGGGAGGAUGAUCAGCCACACUGGGACUGAGACACGGCCCAGACUCCUACGGGAGGCAGCAGUGGGGAAUAUUGGACAAUGGGCGAAAGCCUGAUCCAGCAAUGCCGCGUGAGUGAUGAAGGCCCUAGGGUUGUAAAGCUCUUUUACCCGGGAUGAUAAUGACAGUACCGGGAGAAUAAGCCUCGGCUAACUCCGUGCCAGCAGCCGCAGUAA